AAAAAUUCACAGGACUUCGUGCUGGAUCUGGGCUAUCUGAAUGAUUAAUCACGGUCCUUGCUCUCCAGGAGCUCAUAUUUUACAAAGAACAGACAUGUACGAAAUUAUGAAAACGUGUUGUAGGAGGUGUGCGGGAGGUAUGACCAAAGUUCUGGGGCAGCACAGCGGAGAGGGACUAAUUCCUGGAGGUGUUAAAAAAUAAAGAAGGAAAAGGGCUUCCGGGAGGGAACGUUUGCAGUGCAGGUCCACGCACAAGCAGAAUUUGCCAGGCCGAGAAGGGCCUCCUCCUGGAGGAGCACCUGAAACGCGUGGAAACAACCGGAGGUGCACAGGGCGGCGAGCAGUUCCCGGUGGCCAGAGCGCUGCGUGGCAGGAACCUGGUGAGGAAGGUUUGGGCCACUGUAAAGGGCCACUGAUGGUCAAGCUAAGGAGUUUGUCCAUUGAGCGGAGAAAUAAGGAACCAAAAGAUGUUUUCAUUCAAGGAAGUGAUGUGAUUUUUCUUUUUGAAGAAAAAGUGUUCCAUAAUUUUCUGGGAGGAAACACUAUUUCUUCAAAUGCAAGUAAUGGAAUCUGAGAUUAGGAUCUGUUCCUCUGUUCCCAUCCCCCUUCCCCCCCACCCCCUGCCAGAAAGAAAAACCUGCCAUCUUUCUCCAGAGAACAAUUUUUUAUUUCCAAACUGUGGCUACUCUGCUACUGUCACAAAUAACAAGGUGAAAGAAAUGAGUGUGUGCUUCUUCUGGGACCACGUGGACUGAGACCACCCAGGAAGACAUUUCCCAAUGGGAUUUCACCCCAUCCCCAGAUGUGACAACCCAGAGAAUGGGAAGGGACCUUAAGAGAACCAAUGGGACUCAGGACCAGCCAAUCCUAGAAUAAGCAGCCAACCCAGAGCUUCUCGGUCUCCCUGGGGUUCUUUCCAAACUUUGUGGCUAUUCCUCCAAAUUGUCGCUGAAAAACACCAAAAAUAGGCCAACUCUUUUCAAUUUAAUUAGCCAUUCCUCUGAGGACGCCAGAUGGAAUGAAGCAAAGACAGAUGCACUGGGGGCAAGGAGGGGUGGGAGUAGAUUCUAAAUGGGGUUGUCUCAGGAGCCCAAACUCAUCUCCACAAAGGGUCCCCCUCAAAGCACGGAGCUCAAGAGGCAGACGAAGGGGCUCCUGCCAUUGGGAUCCUAGGCCAAGGCUCAAAUGUGCUCUCAGGCACAGACAAUGAGGUGCCCAGAAGGAUGGAAGCUGGUACCUGGGGCUCCUGGGGCUCCCAGAAGGAGGAACCCCUGCUCCCUCCGCAGGGACUAAUGCACAGUCCCCAAGGUGGGGUGCAAGUGGGGAAUCUGCCCUCACCUGGCUCCCGUCUCUGGGGCUGUGGGUAGCCAGCAGCCCACACUGACAGCCUUGUGGCACAGCCAAGUGAGUUGCUGGAAUCUAUUUCUGGAGCUCUGUAAGAGUGGGGGAAACAGCCAGCUGCCUGGGACCACAUGAUCCCUGCAGUGUCUUCCUUAUCUACAAUAGCAUGACAUUUGCUAAGUAAAUGCAGGCAAAAGAACCUGGGCAGGGGAGAGCUAAAAAUGACCCUUAUGGCCUUAGGGGGUCUCUCACCCUUAGUCCAGUACUUUCUCCUCGAGGUGGAAAGACCACCAAUGUGGAGCAACUGCCCCCUCUGGUGGUGAAUAUCGGGAUAAAGUUACACGGAGCGGCUUCUUCACCCUCUCUCUACCUUACUCAGUGGCAAUUUCUCCCCCAAAGUACCGAAUAAAAGAUGACUGUGAGUCCAGGCUUCUAGCUUCCUUCUUUUUCUCCUGAUUGCAGCUGUGGUGCUUAGCCAGGAGCUUCUUUCAAGUUACGGAUUGACAUAUUACAAUGGGAAAAUCACUGGACCUAUGCCCCGAACAGGAGCUUGGUUGCGGUGAGAACAUCGAGUGCGUCACUUCUUCCUUUUGCUCCAUGGAGAAAAAAAAAAAAACAAACCUACCUGUGCACAUAUCUUUACUCAAGCUAGCUGUUCCCAUCUCUGCGUCGUGGAGAGCAUAGCGGCACUGCCUGCCUCCCAGUGAGUCCGCCGGCUGUCUCAGUGUUGUGGCUUAGAGCUGCCAGCCUCCUGCAACAGAGAAGGGAAGAGCUGAGCUGGAGGGUGUGGUCCAGCCUGCCAAGGAGGCAAAGCACGGGGGUGGGAAGACCAGCUCCUUGACUGUACCUGACAACUUCGUUGGGCUGCCAGACAGCCUGAGAUCACCUCCCUUCAGUCUUAUUGUGAAACCAUUAGCUUCUUUAUGGUUUAAGUCACUGCUAGUUCCCAGCAGAAGGCAGCCUCACUGAUAUGGGUGGUUGUCCUACCAAAACAAAGAUCAGAGUACCAGCAAGACUUAAAAAUGUCGAGGUGACGCAUCUUUGACUGGGGCUGCUUUCCUAAAGGAGCAGUCCAGGCCAUUGCUCUUCAAAAUGAUCCCGAGCUGCCAGUUACUUUGUGUUGGGCACUGAAAAGUAUGGAAGCCAGACCUCUCUGACCUUCUGAACUCAGGCCAAAUCAGCCCAUGACUACUUUCAAGCAAGAAACACCAAUCAGCCCUGUCUAUAGCGUCUCACCGGUACCUCUCCUUAUCGAUUCAUUGGCAGACAGAUCUUUCUGUCUUACCCAUUGGCCAUAGUUUGAUUGUAAUAGAUGGGACCUUGGAUGUCAUGCUUUCCUCUAGAAUUUCGACAGAAGAGCAGUGCUGUCUUGAUUGACACAUCCAGGGGCUGAGCUGCAAUAGCGACUCCCAGAGGCUGGGCCUGAAAGGAAAGGAGAGAUGUGCAAAGGAGGCUUUACAGAGAAGCACGCGGAAGACACAGACUUCUCUUCUCAGGGCUGCUGAGGGAUGCACAGGAGACUGGGACCAGAGAGCCCGCCUGGAGAAAUUAACAGCCUAGGGGAAAGAAAGAAAGUCCUAAAGACAAACUAAUAAAAAGCCCACGUGUGACAAGCAGAGUGAAGGAUAGACUGGAAACUCUGGGAGUUGAAAGCAAGGAAUCUAGUUAGCCAGUUCCUGGAAUAUUCUAGGUGAGAGAAAACUAGGGCAGGAGCAGGGGAGAUGGAAAAGAGGGCAGGAUCCAGGAGGCCCUGCUGAGACAGAAUCAGCAUGGACUGCCAGCCAGUUAGAUGUGGGCUGUGAGGAGAGGGAGCAGUGGAGGGACAGAUCUCCUGACACAGCAGUGGGAGAGAUCCUACAAAUUAUCUAGCUCACUCUGAAAAGCAAAUUGUCUAGCUGUGGAGCCCCUUCUUCAACAAAG
This is a long non-coding RNA of Phyllostomus discolor (pale spear-nosed bat), 3261 nucleotides long. RefSeq lists it as uncharacterized. NCBI's taxonomy places the organism in Eukaryota, Metazoa, Chordata, Mammalia, Chiroptera, Phyllostomidae. The record is from RefSeq and is a predicted model, not a curated record. The transcript is spliced from 2 exons.